CCUACGGGAGGCAGCAGUGAGGAAUAUUGGUCAAUGGACGAGAGUCUGAACCAGCCACGUAGCGUGAAGGAUGAAUGCCCUAUGGGUUGUAAACUUCUUUUAUAUGGGACUAAAAUGUUCCACGUGUGGGAUUUUGUAUGUACAAUAUGAAUAAGGAUCGGCUAACACCGUGCCAGCAGCCGCGUUAAUCCGGAGGUUCCGGGCGUUAUCCGGAUUUAUUGGUUGUAACGGGAGCGUAGGUGGAUUGUUAAGUCAGUGGUGAAAGUUUCGGGCUCAACCGUAAAAUUGCAGUUGAAACUGGCAGUCUUGAGUACAGUAGAGGUGGGCGGAAUUCGUGGUGUAGCGGUGAAAUGCUUAGAUAUCACGAAGAACUCCGAUUGCGAAGGCAGCUCACUGGACUGCAACUGACACUGAGGCUCGAAAGUGUGGGUAGCAAACAGGAUUAGAUACCCUUGUAGUC
RNAcentral lists this ribosomal RNA (460 nucleotides) under uncultured bacterium. Its description in RNAcentral is "partial 16S ribosomal RNA". It matches the Rfam family "Bacterial small subunit ribosomal RNA", at positions 338 to 795 of the family's 1533-position model. The record is from RNAcentral.